Molecule: ribosomal RNA, 800 nt
Filed under: uncultured bacterium
Lineage: Bacteria
Description: bacterial SSU rRNA
Rfam family: Bacterial small subunit ribosomal RNA
Source: RNAcentral
GGGAGCUUACAUGGCAGUCGAGGGGCAGCGGGUAAGUAGCUUGCUACUUAUGCCGGCGACCGGCGGACGGGUGCGUAACGCGUAUGUAACCUACCUUUGACAGGGGGAUAACAUCGAGAAAUCGGUACUAAUACCCCAUAACAUCACCGGAGGCAUCUUCGGUGGUUGAAAACUCAGGUGGUCAGAGAUGGACAUGCGUUGUAUUAGCUAGUUGGUGAGGUAACGGCUCACCAAGGCGACGAUACAUAGGGGGACUGAGAGGUCAACCCCCCACAUUGGUACUGAGACACGGACCAAACUCCUACGGGAGGCAGCAGUGAGGAAUAUUGGUCAAUGGACGCAAGUCUGAACCAGCCAUGCCGCGUGCAGGAAGACGGCUCUAUGAGUUGUAAACUGCUUUUGUACGAGGGUAAAUCCCGAUACGUAUAUCGGGUUGAAAGUAUCGUACGAAUAAGGAUCGGCUAACUCCGUGCCAGCAGCCGCGGUAAUACGGAGGAUUCAAGCGUUAUCCGGGUUUAUUGGGUUUAAAGGGUGCGUAGGCGGUUCGAUAAGUUAGAGGUGAAAUCCCGGGGCUCAACUCCGGCACUGCCUCUGAUACUGUCGGGCUAGAGUUUAGUUGCGGUAGGCGGAAUGUAUGGUGUAGCGGUGAAAUGCAUAGAGAUCAUACAGAACACCGAUUGCGAAGGCAGCUUACCAAACUACAACUGACGUUGAGGCACGAAAGCGUGGGGAGCAAACAGGAUUAGAUACCCUGGUAGUCCACGCAGUAAACGAUGAUAACUGGUUGUCGGCGAUAUAAU